This 58-nucleotide microRNA precursor is filed under the name Ascaris suum (pig roundworm). Its description in RNAcentral is "Asu-Mir-34_pre stem-loop". The record is from RNAcentral. Lineage: Eukaryota; Metazoa; Nematoda; Chromadorea; Rhabditida; Ascarididae.
UGGCAGUGUGGUUAGCUGGUUGUCAGAUGUGAGACAACGGCUAUCACCACUGCCGUCC